CCUGGCCUUGACAUACUAAGAACUUUCCAGAGAUUGGAUUGGUGCCUUCGGGAACUUAGAUACAGGUGCUGCAUGGCUGUCGUCAGCUCGUGUCGUGAGAUGUUGGGUUAAGUCCCGCAACGAGCGCAACCCUUUUCCUUAUUUGCCAGCGGGUUAAGCCGGGAACUUUAAGGAUACUGCCAGUGACAAACUGGAGGAAGGCGGGGACGACGUCAAGUCAUCAUGGCCCUUACGGCCAGGGCUACACACGUGCUACAAUGGUCGGUACAAAGGGUUGCUACCUCGCGAGAGGAUGCUAAUCUCAAAAAGCCGAUCGUAGUCCGGAUCGCAGUCUGCAACUCGACUGCGUGAAGUCGGAAUCGCUAGUAAUCGCGGAUCAGAAUGCCGCGGUGAAUACGUUCCCGGGCCUUGUACACACCGCCCGUCACACCAUGGGAGUUUGUUGCACCAGAAGUAGGUAGUCUAACCGCAAGGAGGACGCUUACCACGGUGUGGCCGAUGACUGGGGUGAAGUCGUAACAAGGUAGGCGUAGAUGA
This 537-nucleotide ribosomal RNA is filed under the name uncultured bacterium. RNAcentral describes it as "bacterial SSU rRNA". It matches the Rfam family "Bacterial small subunit ribosomal RNA", at positions 974 to 1509 of the family's 1533-position model. The record is from RNAcentral.